GUCUCAGUUCUUUGAUUGGUACCCAAUAGAUUGCGAAUGGUUCAGUAUAACAGUUAUGAUAUGAAUGAAAUUUAUUUUAUGUGGAUUACUGUGGGAAAUCUUCAGCUAAUACUUGAUGCACAGUAUAUAUAAAUAAAAAUAGGAUAUGUAUAUAGCUGUUAUUUAUUAUUAAAUUUUAAUGUACCGACAUUAUUGUGGAUUCCUAAUAAUUACGUACAGAUUACUUUACAAGUAGCAAUUCAUUUAAGUUUCUGACCUAUCAGUUAAUUGGUUGCAUCUGGAGCAAUUGAGGCAUUAACGGGUAACAGGAAAUUAGAGUUCUAUUCCGGAGAGGGAGUCUGAGAUAUAGCUACCACAUCUAAGGAAGGCAGCAGGCGCGUAAAUUACCCAAUUACGAUUAGUAGAGGUAAUGACAAGAAAUCACAAUAUUAUGCCUUCUGGCUAUAAUUGUAUUGACAACAAUAUAAAUAUUAUAUCUAUAAGCUAGU
RNAcentral lists this ribosomal RNA (488 nucleotides) under uncultured eukaryote. RNAcentral's name for it is "bacterial SSU rRNA". It matches the Rfam family "Eukaryotic small subunit ribosomal RNA", at positions 57 to 549 of the family's 1831-position model. The record is from RNAcentral.